Bos indicus x Bos taurus (hybrid cattle) is the source of this 848-nucleotide long non-coding RNA. The record is from Ensembl. Lineage: Eukaryota; Metazoa; Chordata; Mammalia; Artiodactyla; Bovidae.
AGGAGACAGAAGUGGCGGGGGCAGUGGCAGCCUCCUGGGCUCUACCUGCCCCCACCCCUCUGCCUUUUGUCACCUCUCCCUUCUGUCACCCUCACUGUCAUGGGCAGUGCUUACCACUGGGAGGCCCGUCGGCGGCAGAUGGCUUUGGACCGGAAGAGGUGGCUGAUGGCCCAGCAGCAGCAGCAAGAGCAGGAACUGAAGAAACGCCAAGAAGAGGAACGGCAAUGUGAGGAGAAAACCCAGCCACCUCAGGAGUCCCAGCAGGAGUCGCAGCCACCCCUGGCGCAAUCACAGUUGCCACCUAUGCCACAGCCGCCGCAGGUGCCCCAGCAGCCACCACAGCCGCCUCAGCUAAAGCAGCCAAAUGCCCAAGAAUGUCUUACUCAGUGCACCUCCAAGUACAUCCUCCAGGAUUCCCAGAGGCCAGGUCCCCACAAGGACACAUACCAAAGAGAGGUGACCAACCCUCAUGGUCCUGGUGGCAAGAAAUCUAGCCCAGAUAUGCAAACCAAGUACUCACGAUUCACGGUGAGACAGAUUCAAAGUGUGAAAGCCAGAUAGCUUCUGGCUGUGUGUCUGAGUGUGGUUGAGUGUAAGUGUGGGGGAGUCUAGAAAGGCUUCCUUGGCAGGAGUUGGGAGAGGGGAUUGAAGCUGUUCAGUCAUUUCUGGAUGGCCCAUUCCUCCAUUCCUUGGCCCAUAAGAAUGUCUUGGUAGGCCCCAUUGCUCAGCACUAAGUGAAGGAGCUGACAGUCUAGUUAGGAAGGCUGGACAGGUACAAAGAAGCAAAAUCUAGGGGCUGAUUAGGGUAGAGCCAGCUAGGCAGGAGGGAGGUAAGACCUGAAGUAAGA